This 458-nucleotide ribosomal RNA is filed under the name uncultured bacterium. Its description in RNAcentral is "partial 16S ribosomal RNA". It matches the Rfam family "Bacterial small subunit ribosomal RNA", at positions 338 to 795 of the family's 1533-position model. The record is from RNAcentral.
CCUACGGGGGGCUGCAGUGGGGAAUUUUGGACAAUGGGCGCAAGCCUGAUCCAGCUAUUCCGCGUGUGGGAUGACGGCCCUCGGGUUGUAAACCACUUUUGCACGGGGAUAACACCCUCCACUUGUGGAGGUCUGCAGGUACCGUGCGAAUAAGGGCCGGCUAAUUCCGUGCCAGCAGCCGCGGUAAUACGGAAGGCCCGAGCGUUAUCCGGAUUCAUUGGGCUUAAAGGGAGCGUAGGCGGGCGUUCAAGUCAGCUGUAAAAUCGCGCGGCUCAACCGCGCCCCGCAGUUGAAACUGGACGCCUUGAGUUCACAACAGGCAGGCGGAAUUCGUGGUGUAGCGGUGAAAUGCAUAGAUAUCACGAGGAACCCCGAUUGCGAAGGCAGCCUGCCGGGGUGCGACUGACGCUGAGGCUCGAAGGUGCGGGUAUCAAACAGGAUUAGAUACCCUAGUAGUC